Molecule: ribosomal RNA, 452 nt
Filed under: uncultured bacterium
Lineage: Bacteria
Description: bacterial SSU rRNA
Rfam family: Bacterial small subunit ribosomal RNA
Source: RNAcentral
UAGUCCACGCCCUAAACGAUGCUUACUCGGUGUUUGGGCUAUAAGUUUGAGCACCUAAGGGAAACCAAUAAGUAAGCCACCUGGGGAGUACGUUCGCAAGAAUGAAACUCAAAGGAAUUGACGGGGGCCCGCACAAGCGGUGGAGCAUGCGGUUUAAUUCGAAGCAACGCGCAGAACCUUACCUACUCUUGACAUCCAGAGAAGCUUGAAGAGAUUCGAGUGUGCCUUCGGGAACUCUGAGACAGGUGCUGCAUGGCUGUCGUCAGCUCGUGUUGUGAAAUGUUGGGUUAAGUCCCGCAACGAGCGCAACCCUUAUCCUUGUUUGCCAGCACGUAAUGGUGGGAACUCCAGGGAGACUGCCGGUGAUAAACCGGAGGAAGGUGGGGACGACGUCAAGUCAUCAUGGCCCUUACGAGUAGGGGCUACACACGUGCUACAAUGGCGUAUACAGA